GGCGCCCCCUGGAACACAGUCAUAAAUGUUGAUGUAUAGCUCACACAUACUUGCACAUAUUCAUAUGAAACUCAGUACACAUAUAGAUCUCAUUGUGCCGAACAAUUUUCGUAUUGCAUGUCAUUGGGCUCCGCCCAACAGGAAGUCAGCUAUUUAGAGUUAUGUAAAAAGCGCAUGCUCUGGAAUUUGAUAUACUUGUCAUAGGUUUUUUACUCGUUUACCACCAAACUCGGUCAACAUGAUCUCAAGACAUUGGGGAUGAAAAAUUGCCAGGGGAUUUUUGAUAUCUCGAACGGUUUGCUCGUGGCGAGGCGUUGAAAUUAUGGCGAGAAUUGAGAAACAGGAAGUGUCUAAUACCAUCCACAUACAUUUCCUGAUUUCAAUCAAACUUCAUCAGAUUAUUCAUUGUAUGAUGUCGAUCACAUAUAUGUGACUAUUAGGAGUCAAAGUUAUAGCGCCACCAACUGGCAGCAGGAAGUGUGUCAUUUUCAAAAUGCUUUGAAUUCAGCAUCUUAUUUUUACUCGAUUUGCUUCAAACUUCAUCAGAAUAAUGUUAAAACACAGCCGAUAUGAAUCUGCUGGGGGAAAUUGGAUAUCUAAAAAUAUUGUUGCCGUGGCAACAUGUCAAACUGGAAUACUUCUCAGGUGAUUUUGAGGCAUAUAACAUGCUUAGAAUUUCAUCAAACUCAGAACACAUAUCAGUAUUAGUGACAGCUAGACACUGGCAAAAGUUCAUAAGAGGGCGUGGAAGAGGCACUCUAUAGCGCCACCUUUUGUCAAAAGUGAGGGGGUUAGUUUUAGCUACAGACACCAAACUCAGUACAAAAAUUGUUCUUAUCAAGACGGACAACUUUCUAAUUCACAGUCAUCAGCUACGACCAACAGGAAGUCGGCUAUUUUGAUUUGAAUGUGGAUUGUUUUUUACAUUUAGCUGUGAAUUAAUGCAUACUGCUCAGAGGAGAGUAACACUAUACACACCAAACUUGGUGUACAUGUUGAAAAAACAUUGAGGAACUUAAAUUGUGAAUGGGUUUUGGAUAGCUUGGAUGGUUUUGUCGUGGUGAUUUUUUUAAAUGACAAUAAAGAUGGAACUAUUAA
Long non-coding RNA from Carassius gibelio (silver crucian carp), 1098 nucleotides. RefSeq lists it as uncharacterized. Lineage: Eukaryota; Metazoa; Chordata; Actinopteri; Cypriniformes; Cyprinidae. The record is from RefSeq and is a predicted model, not a curated record. The transcript is spliced from 2 exons.